GAUGAACGCUGGCUACAGGCUUAACACAUGCAAGUCGAGGGGAAACGACGGGGAAGCUUGCUUCCCCGGGCGUCGACCGGCGCACGGGUGAGUAACGCGUAUCCAACCUGCCUCUGACUGAGGGAUAACCCGUCGAAAGUCGGCCUAAUACCUCAUGGCAUCGUCUGCGGGCAUCCAACGACGAUUAAAGAUUUCAUCGGUCAGGGAUGGGGAUGCGUCUGAUUAGCUAGUUGGCGGGGUAACGGCCCACCAAGGCGACGAUCAGUAGGGGUUCUGAGAGGAAGGUCCCCCACAUUGGAACUGAGACACGGUCCAAACUCCUACGGGAGGCAGCAGUGAGGAAUAUUGGUCAAUGGGCGAGAGCCUGAACCAGCCAAGUAGCGUGCAGGAUGACGGCCCUAUGGGUUGUAAACUGCUUUUAUGCGGGGAUAAAGUGAGGGACGUGGCCUUCAUUGCAGGUACCGCAGGAAUAAGGACCGGCUAAUUCCGU
This 490-nucleotide ribosomal RNA is filed under the name uncultured bacterium. Its description in RNAcentral is "partial 16S ribosomal RNA". It matches the Rfam family "Bacterial small subunit ribosomal RNA", at positions 28 to 506 of the family's 1533-position model. The record is from RNAcentral.